Numida meleagris (helmeted guineafowl) is the source of this 492-nucleotide long non-coding RNA. RefSeq lists it as uncharacterized. The record is from RefSeq and is a predicted model, not a curated record. Lineage: Eukaryota; Metazoa; Chordata; Aves; Galliformes; Numididae. The transcript has 2 exons.
UCAACUUCUGCUCCUUGAGAUAAGUGGGAGUGUUGUCAUUUCACCAGCAUAAUACUGAGAUGAAAAUGCAUACUUUACAUCAUUUGCAUUGUCUCUCUCUCUAUAUAUGUAAAGGCAAUUUACUUAAGCCAGUCUUAAAACUUAAAAGCAUGAAUUCCAAAGAAAGAAUGCGGGAGAGAGGGAUGCCAAUCAGCACCAUCACCAUGGGCAACCCUGGAUUCUAGUCUGAUGGAAGCUCUGCCAUGUGCCCUUUUCAAAGCGUUGGGUGAUAUCAUUCAACGUAAUAGGAUCUUCUUCUGCAUCAACUGCUGACACUCCAGGAAACCAUCCUUCAGGAAAAAGAUGAACUCAAUUAUUAUUAAUUAUUAUCGAUUAUUAGCUGGGCAAUUUGAGCAUCCUUAGGUUUUGUGGGUGGCACUGGGACUCUAACAGUUAAUACUGGUUCCAACACUUUGUGCUCCUCAUUCAAUAAAACAGAUGAUUGCUUCUUUU